AUUUUUCAAGCAUCUUCUAGUUGUAUCAUCAGGAAGACGAAGAUAGCUGAAUUUUAACACAUUAACCAUGAUGUGUUCUAAUUCUUGUUCAGGAGAUGCAGCCUGCAUGUUCAAUGUUUCAAUCGCGUUGUUCCAAACAUCAACAUCAGAUUCAUCUUUCAAUGCCUUUGACAUUAGGAAGAUGGCAUGCGAAUGGUAGCAGCACAAGUCAACUAUUCGAGCCAGUGGUUGAAGGUUAGAAGAAUAAAUACUUUCACCAACAUUCUCCCAAAACAAUUUACACAAUAAAUUCUCUAGAUUUAUCUUCGAGUCCAC
This 315-nucleotide unclassified non-coding RNA is filed under the name Hevea brasiliensis (rubber tree). Lineage: Eukaryota; Viridiplantae; Streptophyta; Magnoliopsida; Malpighiales; Euphorbiaceae. The record is from RNAcentral.